This 210-nucleotide long non-coding RNA is filed under the name Ricinus communis (castor bean). RNAcentral's name for it is "long non-coding RNA (RCOM_LNC000891)". The record is from RNAcentral. Lineage: Eukaryota; Viridiplantae; Streptophyta; Magnoliopsida; Malpighiales; Euphorbiaceae.
GAGACGUUGUGAAUUGUGAUGUUUAGAUUGCUUUAUGAGAUUGAGAAAUCCAUUUGGCAAUUGGAAUUUUGAAUAGCAAGAACUGGUUAAUAAUCACUUAGAGAUAAGGAUAGUUAACUAGCCGGAUUAAGAAUUAACAAAGCUUAAUAGAGGCGGAUUAAAGCUUAAUGCUAAUUUAAGAAUCAAUUGUUAGGAAGAGAUUCCAACUUU